GGAUUAGUAGACAAGUGGCUAAGUCAUAGCUUUUUCAAUGCUAAUAUCACGGGUUCGAAUCCUGUCUAGUCUA
This 73-nucleotide transfer RNA is filed under the name Niveomyces insectorum. Its description in RNAcentral is "Sporothrix insectorum tRNA-Glu". It matches the Rfam family "tRNA". From Rfam's summary of the family: Transfer RNA (tRNA) molecules are approximately 80 nucleotides in length. Their secondary structure includes four short double-helical elements and three loops (D, anti-codon, and T loops). Further hydrogen bonds mediate the characteristic L-shaped molecular structure. tRNAs have two regions of fundamental functional importance: the anti-codon, which is responsible for specific mRNA codon recognition, and the 3' end, to which the tRNAs corresponding amino acid is attached (by aminoacyl-tRNA synthetases). tRNAs cope with the degeneracy of the genetic code in two manners: having more than one tRNA (with a specific anti-codon) for a particular amino acid; and 'wobble' base-pairing, i.e. permitting non-standard base-pairing at the 3rd anti-codon position. RNAcentral also lists the same sequence under 1 other name. Lineage: Eukaryota; Fungi; Ascomycota; Sordariomycetes; Hypocreales; Cordycipitaceae. The record is from RNAcentral.